RNAcentral lists this transfer RNA (73 nucleotides) under Candidatus Daviesbacteria bacterium RIFCSPHIGHO2_02_FULL_39_41. RNAcentral describes it as "tRNA-Arg". It matches the Rfam family "tRNA". Rfam says of the family: Transfer RNA (tRNA) molecules are approximately 80 nucleotides in length. Their secondary structure includes four short double-helical elements and three loops (D, anti-codon, and T loops). Further hydrogen bonds mediate the characteristic L-shaped molecular structure. tRNAs have two regions of fundamental functional importance: the anti-codon, which is responsible for specific mRNA codon recognition, and the 3' end, to which the tRNAs corresponding amino acid is attached (by aminoacyl-tRNA synthetases). tRNAs cope with the degeneracy of the genetic code in two manners: having more than one tRNA (with a specific anti-codon) for a particular amino acid; and 'wobble' base-pairing, i.e. permitting non-standard base-pairing at the 3rd anti-codon position. RNAcentral also lists the same sequence under 5 other names. The record is from RNAcentral. Lineage: Bacteria; Candidatus Daviesiibacteriota.
GCCCCCAUAGCUCAGCGGAUAGAGCAACUCGGUUCUAACGAGUAGGCCAGGGGUUCAAAUCCUCUUGGGGGCG